RNAcentral lists this small nucleolar RNA (66 nucleotides) under Procavia capensis (Cape rock hyrax). Its description in RNAcentral is "Small nucleolar RNA SNORD26 (ENSPCAG00000020614.1)". Lineage: Eukaryota; Metazoa; Chordata; Mammalia; Hyracoidea; Procaviidae. The record is from RNAcentral.
CUACACAAAUUGCUCAACUCUCAUUUACUGAGGAGAGAGUGGUGAUGAUUUUAAAAACUGAGUAUU